GAGUCUUAACUGGGCGUUAAGUUGCAGGGUAUAGACCCGAAACCCGGUGAUCUAGCCAUGGGCAGGUUGAAGGUUGGGUAACACUAACUGGAGGACCGAACCGACUAAUGUUGAAAAAUUAGCGGAUGACUUGUGGCUGGGGGUGAAAGGCCAAUCAAACCGGGAGAUAGCUGGUUCUCCCCGAAAGCUAUUUAGGUAGCGCCUCGUGAACUCAUCUUCGGGGGUAGAGCACUGUUUCGGCUAGGGGGUCAUCCCGACUUACCAACCCGAUGCAAACUGCGAAUACCGAAGAAUGUUAUCACGGGAGACACACGGCGGGUGCUAACGUCCGUCGUGAAGAGGGAAACAACCCAGACCGCCAGCUAAGGUCCCAAAGUCACAGUUAAGUGGGAAACGAUGUGGGAAGGCUCAGACAGCCAGGAUGUUGGCUUAGAAGCAGCCAUCAUUUAAAGAAAGCGUAAUAGCUCACUGGUCGAGUCGGCCUGCGCGGAAGAUGUAACGGGGCUAAACUGUGCACCGAAGCUGCGGCAGCGACGCUUAUGCGUUGUUGGGUAGGGGAGCGUUCUGUAAGCCUGCGAAGGUGUCCUGUGAGGGAUGCUGGAGGUAUCAGAAGUGCGAAUGCUGACAUAAGUAACGAUAA
Molecule: ribosomal RNA, 640 nt
Filed under: Salmonella enterica subsp. enterica serovar Kentucky
Lineage: Bacteria; Pseudomonadati; Pseudomonadota; Gammaproteobacteria; Enterobacterales; Enterobacteriaceae
Description: partial 23S ribosomal RNA
Rfam family: Bacterial large subunit ribosomal RNA
Source: RNAcentral